Molecule: ribosomal RNA, 447 nt
Filed under: uncultured bacterium
Lineage: Bacteria
Description: partial 16S ribosomal RNA
Rfam family: Bacterial small subunit ribosomal RNA
Source: RNAcentral
AACGAACGCUGGCGGCAGGCCUAACACAUGCAAGUCGAACGCCCCGCAAGGGGAGUGGCGCACGGGUGAGUAACGCGUGGGAAUAUGCCCUUCGGUUCGGAAUAACACAGGGAAACUUGUGCUAAUACCGGAUACGAUCUACGGAUGAAAGAUUUAUCGCCGAGGGAGUAGCCCGCGUAGGAUUAGCUAGUUGGUGAGGUAAUGGCUCACCAAGGCGACGAUCCUUAGCUGGUCUGAGAGGAUGAUCAGCCACACUGGGACUGAGACACGGCCCAGACUCCUAGGGUAGGCCGCAGUGGGGAAGAUUGGACAAUGGGCUAAGGGCUGAUCCAGGCAGGCCGCGUGAGUGAUGAAGGCCUUAGGGGUGUAAGGCACUUUCCUCCGGGAGGAUAAAGAGGGUACCGGAAGAAGAAGCCCCGGCUAACUUCGUGCCAGCAGCCGCCGUAA